RNAcentral lists this unclassified non-coding RNA (1274 nucleotides) under uncultured Bordetella sp. Its description in RNAcentral is "partial 16S-23S ribosomal RNA intergenic spacer". The stretch from base 1 to 810 matches the Rfam family "Bacterial small subunit ribosomal RNA", at positions 10 to 873 of the family's 1533-position model. Lineage: Bacteria; Pseudomonadati; Pseudomonadota; Betaproteobacteria; Burkholderiales; Alcaligenaceae. The record is from RNAcentral.
GGUUCGAUCAUGGCUCAGAUUGAACGCUGGCGGGAUGCUUUACACAUGCAAGUCGAACGACAGCACGGACUUCGGUCUGGUGGCGAGUGGCGAACGGGUGAGUAAUGUAUCGGAACGUGCCUAGUAGCGGGGGAUAACUACGCGAAAGCGUAGCUAACUUCACAUACGCCCUUCGGGGAAAGCGGGGGACCUUCGGGCCUCGCACUAAUGGAAACGGCCGAUAUCGGAUUAGCUAGUUGGUGGGGUAACGGCUCACCAAGGCGACGAUCCGUAGCUGGUUUGAGAGGACGACCAGCCACACUGGGACUGAGACACGGCCCAGACCUGCAGGAGGCAGCAGUGGGGAAUUUUGGACAAUGGGGAAACCCUGAUCCAGCCCGCAUCCCGCGUGUGCGAUGAAGGCCUUCGGGUUGUAAAGCACUUUUGGCAGAAAGAAACGGCACGGGAUAAUACCCCGUGCAACUGACGAUACCUGCAGAAUAAGCACCGGCUAACUACGUACCCAGCAGCGCGGUAAUACGUAGGUGCAAGCAUUAAUCAGGUACUGGGCGUAAAGCGUGCGCAGGCGGUUCGGAAAGAAAGAUGUGAAAUCCCAGAGCUUAACUUUGGAACUGCAUUUUUAACUACCGGCAGGCUAGGUGUGUCAGAGGGAGGUGGAAUUCCGCGUGUAGCCAGUGAAAUGCGUAGAUAUGCGGAAUUCACGCCAUCUGACGCACUCCCAACUCGUCAGUUAAAAAUGCAGUUCGAAGUUGGGUUUCGCAUCUUUCUUUCGACAAAAACCUGCGCUUACGCGGUAAUUCCGACAACGCCGCGCCGCGGCUGCUGGCGCAUGGUGUACCGGUGCUGCGGGUACUAUCAGUUGCGCGGGGUGUUAUCGAUGCCGCUCACUGCCAAAAAGUAACUGCAACGAAGGCGCUCAUCACACACGCAGAUGAAAAACACAGUCCCCCUACAUUAACAAAAUUCCCCUACCCCCUUCCGUAGGGUCGCAGGCCAUCUCGAUCCCAGUGUGGCUGGUCGUCCUCUCAAACCAACUGGGUCGCCUGGUCAGCCGUUGCUAAUCCGAUAUCGGCCCACCGCUCUAUUCAGUGCGGGCCCGAAUCCCGCCUUUCCCCCAGAGGGCGUAUGCAAUAUUAUACGCUUUCGCGUAGUUAUCCCCCGCUAUAAACGUUCCAUUGCGUGCUUUCACCCGUUCGCCGCGCACCCUCUCUGAAAACCGAAGUCCGUAGCGUCGUUUUGUGCUGUGUGUGCCCGUAACGUUCAAUCUGACCGUG